This 468-nucleotide ribosomal RNA is filed under the name uncultured bacterium. RNAcentral's name for it is "partial 16S ribosomal RNA". It matches the Rfam family "Bacterial small subunit ribosomal RNA", at positions 28 to 507 of the family's 1533-position model. The record is from RNAcentral.
GACGAACGCUGGCGGCGUGCUUAACACAUGCAAGUCGAACGGAAAGGCCCUGCUUUUGUGGGGUGCUCGAGUGGCGAACGGGUGAGUAACACGUGAGUAACCUGCCCUUGACUUUGGGAUAACUUCAGGCAACUGGGGCUAAUACCGGAUAGGAGCUCCUGCUGCAUGGUGGGGGUUGGAAAGUUUCGGCGGUUGGGGAUGGACUCGCGGCUUAUCAGCUUGUUGGUGGGGUAGUGGCUUACCAAGGCUUUGACGGGUAGCCGGCCUGAGAGGGUGACCGGCCACAUUGGGACUGAGAUACGACCCAGACUCCUACGGGAGGCAGCAGUGGGGAAUAUUGCACAAUGGGCGGAAGCCUGAUGCAGCAACGCCGCGUGCGGGAUGACGGCCUUCGGGUUGUAAACCGCUUUCGCCUGUGACGAAGCGUGAGUGACGGUAAUGGGUAAAGAAGCACCGGCUAACUACGUG